RNA transcript from Haplochromis burtoni (Burton's mouthbrooder), 904 nucleotides. RefSeq lists it as uncharacterized. The record is from RefSeq and is a predicted model, not a curated record. The transcript is spliced from 2 exons. Lineage: Eukaryota; Metazoa; Chordata; Actinopteri; Cichliformes; Cichlidae.
CCAGUCAAGCUUGAAAACAACACGGAUAAGCCUAGUACCAAGCGUACACUGUUGACUGUUUCCUUCUCUCCGCACAUCAGCCCCCAUUCAUUGAAGCAUUUGAGGCGACGGAGAACUAGCACACAGCUAAUUUGAACCUGUGCAUCGAGAACACCCGUAUCAUUGUGCAUGACAAAGUUCACAGUGGAUAAAGUCUUCACUCCACCAAUGGGGAAACAUCAUGGAUGUCUUGAAGGCCGAUGACCGCUUCAUGUGAGGAUCUUUACCAUCUGAAUCAUGUUUCUCUGAUGGAAAAGUACAGCAAAAACACUCCCUGUCAACUAUUGGCAGCUUUAAUGACUCUACAGUGCACCACAGAGGCACAGAGCAGCAACUGCACCAACUAGGAUCAGGGAAACAUUUUUUUUGUAGUUUUUAAAAAGUGAGUCAUCUCUUAGCCUAGAUUAUCAUGAAGCUGUAAGUUUGGUGUAGCAUAAUGACUGAAAGCAAACAGAGGUGUUAGUGUGUUGUUGUGUAGUUGCCAUUUGAUCUAACAUCAUUUAUUGCUGUUUUCAGCAUGCUGGUCAAUGCCAUCCAGAGAGCAGGUAUAACUGAGCUUCUGAACCAGCAGGUGGUGUUCACCUUCUUCGCUCUCACCAAUGAUGCUUUCAAUGCACUGCCGCAGGAUGAAGGCAACAGGCUGAUGCAUGAGUUUUAUUCAACCACACAGCUUCUCUUUAUUCACAUUCUUAAUUUAUCCACAUGGACAGUUUCCAGAGACGUGUGUAAAGCAUCUCUCUUCUUUACAGCAGUUUAUACUGAGAGGUGAACCACACAGCCUCUCAUUUGAUACCAUAUCUCCUUCACCCUCACCUCACGUCUGUUUUGACUAACAUCUCUGUAUGAAAAUGAAAUUGAAGAACAA